This is a long non-coding RNA of Capsicum annuum, 596 nucleotides long. RefSeq lists it as uncharacterized. The transcript is spliced from 2 exons. NCBI's taxonomy places the organism in Eukaryota, Viridiplantae, Streptophyta, Magnoliopsida, Solanales, Solanaceae. The record is from RefSeq and is a predicted model, not a curated record.
AAUAGCCUGCAAACCACAUGGGGAUGUAAACCGCACUAGGCAAGCCCUGUGCAACAGGCUCAAAUCCAGAAGGCUUGCUAUCACAUUUUGAAAUUUUAUGUAUGGCACUUCCAUUGAAGCAGUCAUCAAGUAGCAAUAGAAACAAACAAUCAAGUAAUUUGCUUGUUCAUACCUGUUAUGCUGUGGCUUACAAGCACCUGUGAGAGUACGCUUGCAUCAAAGCCAACCACGCUUCCAUUUUCCUGAUAUGUCGUCACAUGGGGGAGGGGGAGGAGAUAUGCUGCAACUACAUCCAUGCUUUCGGAUUAGGUCGGAGCAGGACUUCACUAUUAUGUCGGCUUUACGUCAGCACGGUGAUUCACCUUAUGAUGUUUACCUUAAGCCUGAUAAUGCUCAUAUUUUUAAUGAGUUGAUUCAAUUUAGAAGAGAGUAUCCCAAUCUGGUUAUACUUUCUCCUAAUGGAGGACACGGACACCAAGUAGCUCCAAUCAAUCCACCCCUGGUUUCCUCUCUCGGGAGUGAGAUACGUAGGCAACCUAUUGUUGGUUCAGGGAUCAUAUUUAAAAUUUUUAAAAAAUUUUCUUCACUCUUUAUUA